CCCCUUCGGGGGUACUCGAGUGGCGAACGGGUGAGUAACACGUGGGUGAUCUGCCCUGCACUCUGGGAUAAGCCUGGGAAACUGGGUCUAAUACCGGAUAGGACCUCGGGAUGCAUGUCUCGUGGUGGAAAGCUUUUGCGGUGUGGGAUGGGCCCGCGGCCUAUCAGCUUGUUGGUGGGGUGAUGGCCUACCAAGGCGACGACGGGUAGCCGGCCUGAGAGGGUGACCGGCCACACUGGGACUGAGAUACGGCCCAGACUCCUACGGGAGGCAGCAGUGGGGAAUAUUGCACAAUGGGCGCAAGCCUGAUGCAGCGACGCCGCGUGGGGGAUGACGGCCUUCGGGUUGUAAACCUCUUUCAGUAUCGGCGAAGCUCCGAGGUUUUCUUCGGGGUGACGGUAGGUACAGAAGAAGCACCGGCCAACUACGUGCCAGCAGCCGCGGUAAUACGUAGGGUGCGAGCGUUGUCCGGAAUUACUGGGCGUAAAGAGCUCGUAGGUGGUUUGUCGCGUCGUCCGUGAAAACUCACAGCUUAACUGUGGGCGUGCGGGCGAUACGGGCAGACUUGAGUACUGUAGGGGAGACUGGAAUUCCUGGUGUAGCGGUGGAAUGCGCAGAUAUCAGGAGGAACACCGGUGGCGAAGGCGGGUCUCUGGGCAGUAACUGACGCUGAGGAGCGAAAGCGUGGGGAGCGAACAGGAUUAGAUACCCUGGUAGUCCACGCCGUAAACGGUGGGUACUAGGUGUGGGUUUCCUUCCUUUAGGGAUCCGUGCCGUAGCUAACGCAUUAAGUACCCCGCCUGGGGAGUACGGCCGCAAGGCUAAAACUCAAAGGAAUUGACGGGGGCCCGCACAAGCGGCGGAGCAUG
RNAcentral lists this ribosomal RNA (869 nucleotides) under Mycolicibacter sp. S78. Its description in RNAcentral is "bacterial SSU rRNA". It matches the Rfam family "Bacterial small subunit ribosomal RNA", at positions 75 to 941 of the family's 1533-position model. The record is from RNAcentral. Lineage: Bacteria; Bacillati; Actinomycetota; Actinomycetes; Mycobacteriales; Mycobacteriaceae.